Molecule: long non-coding RNA, 4546 nt
Filed under: Homo sapiens (human)
Lineage: Eukaryota; Metazoa; Chordata; Mammalia; Primates; Hominidae
Description: non-protein coding lnc-ROPN1B-16:1
Source: RNAcentral
ACACGGGAAGCGCUCCGCGGCGCCCGCCCUCGUCUGGCGCAGAGACCUGGCUGGAAAGACACAGCGUGGCUUCGAUUCCGGCGCCUGCGUGUCACCAGCCCAGGGUGGCCGUGGAAGCUGGACCCGAGCCGCAGGCCCCCCAGGCUGGGCCUGGGAGGAAAGCGGUUUGAAAAAGAUCGGAACUGAGGAACUCUCUUAGAGCGGGGGACUCCCUGCUCCUACAGCCUUAACCAAUGCCCAGCGCUUGGAAAGUGGAGGACUCGGGGAUUCGGGAGCGUUUCAGGCCUGGGGAAAUGGAAGGGUCGGGGACCUAGGUGAAAGGUUAUUUGCCAGAAAUGUCUUGGCUUUUUCAUUUAUUCUGUCUUACCUAGCCCUUCGCCGCCACCUCCAGUCGUUGGCCUCUUACCACCUUCAAAUGCCACCUUUUCCGGAAGAUGUAGCCCUGCGCCCUUGAAACUGGCAAACCCUAUUAGUGUCUGCAAGCUGAGAUGCAGGGUGUGGGCAUAGACACAGAUCAAGAGAUCCGGCCCUGGACCCUCUUGGGCAGAACCUUGCCCUUCUCAUUUCACCUGAAGCCCAAACUUUGUAUGGCAAAGACUUGGUAAUGAUCUCUAUAGAGCUAGGAUUACACAGUUGUCUCAUCCUUUGGGGGCCCUUUAGCCAAACUGUGACCUCCUUAAUGGUGCCUUCGUCAGCUAACAUUAGGCGCCCUGAGGUGCUUCUGCAUACUGCCAUCGUUUACAAUUACUCAUCUUUGUGUACACACCCUAGCACAAGGUCAGCCAUAUAACAUAAAAGAUGCUCAGUGAAUGUUGAGUAAUUGUGAGCAUCUGGAACUUGCCGUGGGAUAAAACGCGUUCAUUGGGAUUUCUUCAUAAUAAUAUGAAGAUUCCAUUUAGCGCCUCUCUGCAAUACUUAAACGUAACCUUUGAGGGGAGAGGGAAAAGAAAAGGCAUGAAAAUAUCUAUAGAGCCAUUUCUGGUGUUCUCCUUCCCUUUUCCACACCCGCCUUCCCACCCCUUGCCAACUAAAUGUUCAUUUGAAUAGUGCUUUUUGGCAAAAUUCCAAACUCCUGCAUUAUGCACUUGUGAUGACACUGAAUUAGAUUAGUGUCUGCAAGGUUAAUGUUCCCUCAGGCAUUAACCUUAGUAAAUCGUGAUGCCUGUUUAGAAAUAGCUAAGGCCCAGAGGUUCAGCUUAAUUUAGACACAGGUAACUAAGAGCAAGAGUAAACCACAGCUCCACAAUCAACUCUCUCUGUGUGCUUUCUCCAUUAAAAAAUAUAAAUUUUAAUAAGAUGACCGCACAUAUUCUGAAUGUUAAUUGCAACAAAACAAUGACACAAGUUAGAGCCAAGGGACAGUUAUCUGGAGGACAGCCUUCUGGCAACUUCUAGCACCCGCAGUGGCAUCAAAUUCAGACGUCAUAAUGAAAAACACCUCUGGCAGCAAGAAAGCCGACUCUCAGUAUUAGGCAGUGGGAAAACUAAUAACUGAAAAGGGCUCAAGGCCUGGAGGUUACAUCCAAUGGGCUAGGAUUGAUUGGUUUGCUAUUAGGAAUAGAUCUAGUUCUCUGCUCAGCAGCCUAACAAGCGAUAGAGAAACAGCUGUCUAAAAUGGGCAGAACGAAGAGCACUACAGGGAUAGUAACAGCAAAAGCGAUGGUGAGGAGCAAGCUUAGGUCCUUUAUAAGUUAAACUGGAAAAACUUCUCAGCUUCAGGUUGGCUCUCCAUGCUCCUCUUGCUCACUUCCCUAAACACCACCCGUAGGUACUCAGCCUACUUACUUUUCCUUUUUUUUUUUUUUAACUUUUUAUUUUGAAAUAAUUAUAGACUCACAAGAAGUUGCAAAAAUAGUCCAGAGUCCCAUGCUUUCCCCAAUGGUGACAUCUUACAAAGCUCUAGUAAGACAUCAAAAUCAGUGUCAACCUAAAUAACAGAGAGGCUUUCUAAAAGAAAAUAAUGUUUAUUUGGGAAUAGAGCAUUGCAAUGAAAAUAUACACAUCACAGUUAACCGCAUAUUCAGGGAUGUAAAGGAAGACAAAGGUGUUUAAAGGAAAAAAUGGAAAGGAUUACAUAAUUGUUUUGAAAUAAUUAUCCUUGACUACAAAGAUCAAUAACAAGGGUGACGCCAGUCCGAGGUUGGACAGGCAUUUGCUGGGGAGAUGUCCUUGCAGAAGUAUUUUUUUAUGUAAGGUUGUGAUGGCCUUUGUGCAAGGUUGUGGGUUUUGCAGUCUUUUUUUGAUAGUUUUUGUUAUCAGGUAUACAAAUGUAAGAACCCUCUCUUCGUAGGCAGCCUUCCCUAGCUCUGUUUGUCAGGGUUUCUUAACAUUAGUAACUCCAUUUUGAUUGUGACAACUUUCACACCAGGAAAUCGACAACAGUACAUUACUGUUUACUAUAGACUUCAGAACUUAUUACUUGCCAUUUUCUUAACCUGUGUUCUGUUUUGUGUGUGUGUGUGUGUGUGUGUGUGUGUGUGUGUGGUUCAAUGCAACUUUACCUCACUUACAGAUCCUUGUAACCACUCCUAUAAUGAAGACAUAGAACUGUUCCAUCACCACAAAAGAACUCCCUCAUACUACCUUUUGGUAUUCACAAAUCCCCUUCCGCACUGCAACCGCUCACCCAACUCCAUGCCUGUCCUCUAGUAACCACUAAACUAUUCUCCAUCUCUAUACUUUCAUCAUUUCAAAAAUGUUAUCUAAGUGGAAUCAUACAGCAUGUAAACUUUUGAGAUUGAUGUUUUAACCUAAACAUAAAGGUCCACAGCUCAAGCAAAUCUAAAGGGCACAGACACUUCCAGCUGAUGGUUUCCAAGGGGGAAUGUAAUAUUUAGGAAAUCAAGAGAAGUCAGGAAUCUGAGUUUUGGGGUGAAACCUCACAAAUAUUAAAUGUUGACAACUCAUUCUGUUUUUUUUUAAGAACACAAAAGCAUGUCAGACAAAACAUGCCUGUGGGCCAGAUUAAGUCCAUAGCCCCCGGUAUAUCUUCUCUGAUGUGACCUAACCCAUAGAGGCUGGCACCGCUGUUCUGACAGGUGAGAUUCUCAGGGACUCCCAAGGCCUCUUUCCUCUCUUCUGGCUCUGGAAUUAGUUCUGAGGCUUGGUCUUUGCACUCCUUCCAGGAGAAGAAUGUACUUCCAUCUCUUUCCUGCUUCACCAGGUCUUCAGACCCUCCUCUAGUAAUCUCUUUCCUUCCUUUUUUCUAGUAUUCUCAGACUCAAGACUAGAUGGAAGUUCUGUCUUCUCUAUCCUUAUGGCUCCCUGCAGCACUAGCCAUUCGUCAAAGCUGGUUCUACCUUAAGGAUAAACUUGUCCUUUUCUUUGCAAAACUCUAAAUUCAUAGCUUUGCUACAGAUUAAUCCACAAGAACCUGCCUCUACUGCGUCACUCCUACUGUACCCAGAAAAAUAUGGCUUUUCCUGUUCCUAAAGGAGUUCUUUUCCUGGGACAUCCUGGGACCCCCUGAAUUCCUGCUUCAGAUAUGCUUCAGGCCUGGGGAAAUGGAAGGGUUGGGGACCUAGGUGAAAGGUUAUUUGCCAGAAAUUUCUUAGCUUUUUUGUUUAUUCUCUCUUACCUAGCCCUCCGCUGGAGGGCAAAGGGCAUCCCAGAUAGCUGAUAUAUUCUAAAACUAAUGAAUAGUCUACUGUCUCCUGCUGAGGAUAUAGAGUGGAGGUAAUUUCUUGAGUUUGAGACAAAAAACCCUGCACCUCUUAGAAACAUCUAAAGAAGGUACUAGGUUGCACUAAAGUUCAUCAGUUGUGAGAUAACUAUGGUUUAGAGGGGCACAAGGGAAGACACCACUGAAAGGCCAAGAUACAUAAGAAUGAAUGAAAAUGAGGUCUUGGGCCAGGAUGAUAUUUGUGGGUAAGGAAAAAAUAAAUAAUAUGAGGAUAAUAUCUACUAGUGCCUAGAGGUUAGUCUGGUGAUUAAGUCCACAGAUUCUGCAGCUGAAGCCAGGGUUUGAAUCCUGACUCUACCACUUACUGGCUUUGCAAUCUUAAGUUACUUAACCUCUCUGUGCUGUCAAGUGCCCCAUCUAGCAAAUGGAGCUAAGAAUAGUACCUUCUUUUUAGGGAUAUUAUGGCUAUUAAAUAUUAACAUAGAGUAGUUUAGUGUUUGUUUAUUUAUUUAUUUAUUUUAGAGACAAGGUCUCUGUUGCCCAGGCUGGAAGGCAGUGGUACAAUCAUAGUUCACUGCAGCCUCAAACUCCCAGGCUCAAGUGAUCCUCCCACCUCAGCCUCCUGAGUACCUGGGACUACAAGUGUGCACCACCAUGCCUGGCUGAUUUUUGUAUUUUUGUAGCAAUAGGAUCUGGCAGUAUUGCCCAGGCUGAUCUCAAAGUCCUGGCCUCAAAGCGAGCCUCCCAGCUCGGCCUCCCUAAAUACUGGGAUUACAGGCAUGAACCACCACACCUGGCAAUGUAAAGCAGUUAGAACAAUAACUGACACAUAGUUAAAUGUUCUAUGUGGUGUUGAUAUUGUAGUUGCUAUUAUUACUAUUUAAAAUAACCUAAAGGUAACACUGAACCAAAUUUCCUAAAAAU